GACGUAGGGUGCAAGCGUUGUCCGGAUUUACUGGGCGUAAAGAGCGCGUAGGCGGUCUGUUAAGUGUGGUGUGAAAUCUCCAGGGCUCAACCCGGAAACUGCACCGCAUACUGGCAGACUGGAGGAAUGCAGAGGUGAGUGGAAUUCCUGGUGUACCGGUGAAAUGGGUAGAUAUCAGGAGGAACACCAGUGGCGAAAGCGGCUACCUGGCCCACUCUUGACGCUGAGGCGCGAAAGCUAGGGGAGCAAACGGG
RNAcentral lists this ribosomal RNA (254 nucleotides) under uncultured bacterium. RNAcentral describes it as "partial 16S ribosomal RNA". It matches the Rfam family "Bacterial small subunit ribosomal RNA", at positions 524 to 776 of the family's 1533-position model. The record is from RNAcentral.